UAUCAAACGGCGCUGCUGGUUUUCUUCUUCAACAGAGAAUUAGCUCCCUUCAAAAAUUGAACACAAGCAACACCCUACCCUUGGCUAAUUCUUCUAUUCUUCUUCAUUUUUCCAUGGAAAACACAACAGAUCUUUAGAUCCCUUGAAGCUUGAGCGCGCAGGACCCCAAAGAAGAACACCCAUGUUCUUCGACAACACCAAGAUGCCUGAAUCCCAACCUUGCGUCGUCUUUCACCAGUUCUAAGCGCCAUUCUGCCUCCUUCUUCUUCAUUUUUUGAUCAACAAGGAAAAAAGAAGCAGACCCUUCUCUUACUCUUAAAAAACAACAACGAAAAUCUAGCAAAAACACCAACAAAAUCGAGCCAAAAACCCAGCAUAACAGCUCGUUCUCUCCCAAUUUCCCUUACUGUUGAGGUCGAUUUUUUGGCGAGCCAAAACAUAUUGUAGCUAGGUCUGUUUGUUGUUGAAGCUUCUGAUGUGACUCGUUUGGCUUUUACUCGAGGUUGGUAUUGUAAUUUUGCAUUCUAGGUAUUUCUUUUCAUUUCUCACUUAGUGUGUGCUAAAAAUUAUUAUAUAUAUGCUGAAAUUCCAUGGAAAUGCUGGCUACUUAAUGUUUGUUGAUUACUUAUUUAAUCUAAUUUAUUGUGACAUUAUAUGAAUCGAUAUGUAUGAUUCUCAUGUGUCUAAUGCAAAUUCACAUUCUGUUGGGUUUCAUUAGAUAUAUGUUGUUCGUUCUGGGGGAUUUGUACAAUUUGUAGUUAUGUGUUUGUUACACUGGUUUGGUGCAAGCAUUUAUAGAAACAAAGUAUAUUGCCGGCUUUGAUGAAAAUUUUUAUUUUUAUAAAGUAUAUUUCUAGCUUCUGAUUUCUUGGGCUGUUAGAAAAUACUGGUUCUGUAGCUUUGGAGAGACUAAGCGGCAGGAAGACUUUGAACGUUUUCCUUCUUUGUUUCUAAUGACUGACUUCAUUGAAAUGGGUAUGGGCCUAUUCUAAGAUUGCUUUUAAAAUUGAGCUGUAGAGAUAAAUUUGGGUAAAGGAAAAUUAAAAGAUUGUAUCUCUUUAAAUAUGAGGAGCAUGUCACUACUCAUGUCUUUGGAUUGCCAUGUUUAAGAUGUGGAUUAAUUAAGUUUGGGCCUUGCUAAUAUGGUAGGUCAUAGUGUGAAUAAGAAGAAUUUUAGCCAAACUUUAGGCAUAAUUUUGAUUUGAAAUUUUAUUAAGUGGAUUUAAAAUCAUUGGGGUUACUCAUAAAAACUAGAGUGCAUCACUGUCUUCCACAAUAAUUUCACGUUCUUAAAAAUGCUUUGACACAAUGUUAGACUGCAAUUUUGCACGUAUAUAGAUUCAUAUGAUCUUGAAUUUGUUUGUGUAACUUGUAAAAUCAGGUUGCCACUCAUUU
This 1395-nucleotide long non-coding RNA is filed under the name Nicotiana tabacum (common tobacco). Its description in RNAcentral is "long non-coding RNA (NTAB_LNC014017)". Lineage: Eukaryota; Viridiplantae; Streptophyta; Magnoliopsida; Solanales; Solanaceae. The record is from RNAcentral.